UACGUAGGGUGCGUGCGUUGUCCGGAAUUAUUGGGCGUAAAGAGCUCGUAGGCGGUGUGUCACGUCGGCCGUGAAAACCUGCAGCUUAACUGUGGGCGUGCGGUCGAUACGGGCAUCACUGGAGUUCGGCAGGGGAGACUGGAAUUCCUGGUGUAGCGGUGAAAUGCGCAGAUAUCAGGAGGAACACCGGUGGCGAAGGCGGGUCUCUGGGCCGAUACUGACGCUGAGGAGCGAAAGCGUGGGGAGCAAACAGG
Molecule: ribosomal RNA, 254 nt
Filed under: uncultured bacterium
Lineage: Bacteria
Description: partial 16S ribosomal RNA
Rfam family: Bacterial small subunit ribosomal RNA
Source: RNAcentral